Molecule: ribosomal RNA, 285 nt
Filed under: uncultured bacterium
Lineage: Bacteria
Description: partial 16S ribosomal RNA
Rfam family: Bacterial small subunit ribosomal RNA
Source: RNAcentral
UGGGGAAUCUUGCACAAUGGGGGAAACCCUGAUGCAGCGACGCCGCGUGAACGAUGAAGCCCUUCGGGGUGUAAAGUUCUUUCGGCAGGGACGAUAAUGACGGUACCUGCAGAAGCAGCUGCGGCUAACUACGUGCCAGCAGCCGCGGUAAUACGUAGGCAGCAAGCGUUGUUCGGAAUUACUGGGCGUAAAGAGUGCGUAGGCGGUUGGCUAAGUUUGGUGUGAAAUCUCCCGGCUCAACAGGGAGGGUGCGCCGAAAACUGGCGGGCUAGGUUGCGGGAGAGG